GAUGAACGCUGACAGAAUGCUUAACACAUGCAAGUCCACUUGAACUUCGGUUUGGGUGGCGGACGGGUGAGUAACGCGUAAAGAACUUGCCUCACAGAUAGGGACAACAUUUGGAAACGAAUGCUAAUACCUGAUAUUAUGAUUUUAGGGCAUCCUAGGAUUAUGAAAGCUAUAUGCGCUGUGAGAGAGCUUUGCGUCCCAUUAGCUAGUUGGAGAGGUAACGGCUCACCAAGGCGAUGAUGGGUAGCCGGCCUGAGAGGGUGAUCGGCCACAAGGGGACUGAGACACAGCCCUUACUCCUACGGGAGGCAGCAGUGGGGAAUAUUGGACAAUGGACCAAGAGUCUGAUCCAGCAAUUCUGUGUGCACGAUGAAGUUUUUCGGAAUGUAAAGUGCUUUCAGUUGGGAAGAAAAAAAUGACGGUACCAACAGAAGAAGUGACGGCUAAAUACGUG
Molecule: ribosomal RNA, 454 nt
Filed under: uncultured bacterium
Lineage: Bacteria
Description: partial 16S ribosomal RNA
Rfam family: Bacterial small subunit ribosomal RNA
Source: RNAcentral